Phacochoerus africanus (Common warthog) is the source of this 1065-nucleotide long non-coding RNA. RefSeq lists it as uncharacterized. Lineage: Eukaryota; Metazoa; Chordata; Mammalia; Artiodactyla; Suidae. The record is from RefSeq and is a predicted model, not a curated record. The transcript is spliced from 2 exons.
GGGAGCCUCUCAUUAACAUUCUUACAUCAGGGCUCCUCCCCGCACCCCUACUCUUCCCACCCCUCCCCUGUCCCUAACUCCCACUCCCCGUCAGACCUCGGCCUUUUCCUUAAAGCCGCAGUCGCCCACGUCUGCACCAGCAGGAGCCCCCACCGCUCCACACUGCCACCAGGGUCCCCGCCACUCCCUUGCCCCGCGUGCGACAGCCCUCUCUUCAGCUCCGGGCUUUAAAAAUGGAAAUGUGCUUGAAAGUAAAGAAACGCGUGCAGGAACACACAUAACGUGCAAAAAAAAAAAAAAAAAAUAGAGGAAUGGGGUGGUCCUAGAAAUUAGUGGUUUCGUUGCAAAAAAAAAAAAAAAACCUAGGUCCCGCAAGCUCUCAACUCUUUCUCACUCCAGCCACACUCCCUCCCGAAGCGACUCGGGGCGGGCAGUCGACCUUCCCAGCCCCCUGGCUCAAGGUCAGGGAACAGGGACCAAGGCAAUGAUGCAGACGUCUAGGUCGCGGACCUGGAACGCCUCGCUAGUCCCGGAGUCCUCCCCCGCCCCCCGCCGGCCUCCUCCCCCUGGGCAGCCCGGGUUCGCGCCGGAGACGAAGUGCUGCGGCACAUCCAGCGUUCCCCACGCACCCAGUGUUCCCCGCGCACCGAACACCUCCGCUGGCGCGCUUCGAGCAGAAAAGCGAAACUUGUUGCUCCCAGAGGCAAGAGAACAGUUUUUCUCCUGGAGGUGGCAGAAGGCUUGAAAAGCAUCUCCAAGGCAUCCUUGGGCUUUGUUUGCUAAACAAGGUUCUCCAAGGCCGAGAAAGGUCCUGCGUCCGAGACCCAGUCAUGCCACCGGUCCCAGCCACAGCAGUGUUGGAGACGAGGAUGGAAACGGCCUUGAAGAAGUCAGUGACCAGAAGAGCCUCGCCGGAGUGCGCUGCGCUGCAGGGCAGGACCUAGAGGAACUUGACCCUCUGAACCUGGUUAACAUUUCACCGAGGUCAUUUGCAAUGUGAACCUGCUACUUUGGAAGGGUGAAUUCUACCACUUAAGUCCCGCGAAUUAAAAUAAAUUGAAAGUA